AUUUGGGAUAAGUUCUGCUCUCCAACAGACUUAUCAUGUGUGGGGAUGGUAUUUCUGAGCUUGUGCGUCUGUAAGGCCAUGCACUCUACUGUGCUGAAUCCAAGAGAAGACUUCCAAGUGAUUGCCAGGUGUCUACACAAAGCUGGACUGCAUCAACAGUUCCCCAUUUUCAACUGCUCUGUGGCCGAGGGAAGCUGAGUGCUGCAGGAAUCUGAGUGGUGACUCUGGAC
Molecule: long non-coding RNA, 230 nt
Organism: Lagopus leucura (white-tailed ptarmigan)
Lineage: Eukaryota; Metazoa; Chordata; Aves; Galliformes; Phasianidae
Exons: 3
Source: RefSeq, a predicted model, not a curated record